Molecule: long non-coding RNA, 602 nt
Organism: Catharus ustulatus (Swainson's thrush)
Lineage: Eukaryota; Metazoa; Chordata; Aves; Passeriformes; Turdidae
Exons: 4
Source: RefSeq, a predicted model, not a curated record
GGAUAUCUGAUAUCAGGAUACUUCCAUCCUGGGGAAUAUGAAGCUAUGGAUUGCAAGGCUGCAGAAUUUGGCUUUAACAUUGCAGCAAGUUGGGGAAUACUUGCUUGUACAAAAUCAGAGUCCAGCUGACUUCAUUGGAGUCUGCGUGGGCAGCCACUGAGACACCUUCAAUCCUGGGAUUCAUUCCCAGACAAGAAAAAAAAGGUGAAAAUCCAAGAAUUUUUCCAGUGAGAGAUUGUCCCAUCUUCUUACCUAAAAAAGAGCCUUAGUAAUUGAGCAAUAUUUUUAAAAUAAUGCAAUGAGAAGAUAAUGGCAUCCUUUUGUUUUAUAUCAUCAAGGUGUUGGGCACAUCAGAUACAAAUGACAGUAAUUUGUCCCAGGUGAUUGAAGAGCAGCUUUGCAGUUUCCUUCCCUGAUUCAUGUUUCCAAGACUACCCCUGGAUUUGCCUCUCUGUUUGUGACCAGUUUUCCUCUCAGCUUCCAAAGAAAGGUGCAAACCUAGUUCUCAAACCUGAGCAAACAAGGCACACUCACAGCAGUCAGGAGUUUUGGGAUAAUACCUCCAACUGCAUUGCAGUUUGGUUGCUGAAGAAGUGAUGAAA